GAUGAACGCUGGCGGCGUGCCUAAUACAUGCAAGUCGAGCGAACAGACGAGGAGCUUGCUCCUCUGACGUUAGCGGCGGACGGGUGAGUAACACGUGGAUAACCUACCUAUAAGACUGGGAUAACUUCGGGAAACCGGAGCUAAUACCGGAUAAUAUAUUGAACCGCAUGGUUCAAUAGUGAAAGACGGUUUUGCUGUCACUUAUAGAUGGAUCCGCGCCGCAUUAGCUAGUUGGUAAGGUAACGGCUUACCAAGGCAACGAUGCGUAGCCGACCUGAGAGGGUGAUCGGCCACACUGGAACUAGGACACGGUCCAGACCCCUACGGGAGGCAGCAGUAGGGAAUCUUCCGCAAUGGGCGAAGGCCUGACGGAGCAACGCGGCGUGAUUGAUGAAGGUCUUCGGAUCGUAAAACUCUGUUAUUAGGGAAGAACAAAUGUGUAAGUAACUAUGCACGUCUUGACGGUACCUAAUCAGAAAGCCACGGCUAACUACGUG
This 497-nucleotide ribosomal RNA is filed under the name uncultured bacterium. RNAcentral describes it as "partial 16S ribosomal RNA". It matches the Rfam family "Bacterial small subunit ribosomal RNA", at positions 28 to 507 of the family's 1533-position model. The record is from RNAcentral.